UGUGCUGGUGAAGCGUUCGGAUUGGCGGCUUCCGGCGGUUCGCCGCUGGUAGCAGCCGAGAAGUUCGUUAAACCCUCCCACCUAGAGGAAGGAGAAGUCGUAACAAGGUUUCCGUAGGUGAACCUGCGGAAGGAUCAUUG
Molecule: ribosomal RNA, 140 nt
Filed under: Coccomyxa viridis
Lineage: Eukaryota; Viridiplantae; Chlorophyta; Trebouxiophyceae; Coccomyxaceae
Description: partial 18S ribosomal RNA
Rfam family: Eukaryotic small subunit ribosomal RNA
Source: RNAcentral